GGGGCUAUAGCUCAGCUGGGAGAGCGCUUGAAUGGCAUUCAAGAGGUCAGGAGUUCGAUCCUCCUUAGCUCCACGA
RNAcentral lists this transfer RNA (76 nucleotides) under Bacteroidota bacterium. RNAcentral describes it as "Bacteroidetes bacterium (bioreactor sludge metagenome) tRNA-Ala". It matches the Rfam family "tRNA". From Rfam's summary of the family: Transfer RNA (tRNA) molecules are approximately 80 nucleotides in length. The record is from RNAcentral. Lineage: Bacteria; Pseudomonadati; Bacteroidota.